UCCGAGUUGACCCCGGCAGUCUCCUGCGAGUCCCCGCCAUUACGCGCUGGCAACACAGGACAAGGGUUGCGCUCGUUGCGGGACUUAACCCAACAUCUCACGACACGAGCUGACGACAGCCAUGCAGCACCUGUGCUAGUGCCCCGAAGGGGGGCCCGGCUUUCACCGGGCUUUCACUAGCAUGUCAAAUCCAGGUAAGGUUCUUCGCGUUGCUUCGAAUUAAACCACAUAAUCCACCGCUUGUGCGGGCCCCCGUCAAUUUGUUUGAGUUUUAGUCUUGCGACCGUACUCCCCAGGCGGAGCACUUAAUGCGUUAGCUGCGUCACUGAAGGAGUCAAUACCUCCAAUAACUAGUGCUCAUCGUUUACGGCGUGGACUAC
Molecule: unclassified non-coding RNA, 380 nt
Filed under: uncultured bacterium
Lineage: Bacteria
Description: contains 16S-23S intergenic spacer region
Source: RNAcentral